RNAcentral lists this ribosomal RNA (459 nucleotides) under uncultured bacterium. RNAcentral's name for it is "partial 16S ribosomal RNA". It matches the Rfam family "Bacterial small subunit ribosomal RNA", at positions 338 to 795 of the family's 1533-position model. The record is from RNAcentral.
CCUACGUGCGGCAGCAGUGAGGAAUAUUGGUCAAUGGGAGCGAUCCUGAACCAGCCAAGCCGCGUGAGGGAAGACGGCCCUAUGGGUUGUAAACCUCUUUUGUCGGAGAACAAAACCCGGGACGAGUCCCGGACUGCGUGUAUCCGACUCAAAAGCAUCGGCUACCUCCGUGCCAGCAGCCGCGGUAAUACGGAGGAUGCGAGCGUUAUCCGGAUUUAUUGGGUUGAACGGGUGCGUAGGCGGUCUGUUAAGUCAGCGGUAAACUUGCGGGGCUCAACCCCGACGAGCCGUUGAAACUGGCAGACUUGAGUUGGCGAGAAGUACGCGGAAUGCGCGGUGUAGCGGUGAAAUGCAUAGAUAUCGCGCAGAACUCCGAUUGCGAAGGCAGCGUACCGGCGCCAGACUGACGCUGAGGCACGAAAGCGUGGGGAUCGAACAGGAUUAGAUACCCUUGUAGUC